AGCGAACGCUGGCGGUAGGCCUAACACAUGCAAGUCGAACGGCAGCACAGUAAGAGCUUGCUCUUACGGGUGGCGAGUGGCGGACGGGUGCGGAAUACAUCGGAAUCUACUUUUUCGUGGGGGCUAACGUAGGGAAACUUACGCUAAUACCGCAUACGACCUACGGGUGUAAGCCGGGGAUCUUCGGACCUUGCGCGAUUGAAUGAGCCGAUGUCGGAUUAGCUAGUUGGCGGGGUAAAGGCCCACCAAGGCGACGAUCCGUAGCUGGUCUGAGAGGAUGAUCAGCCACACUGGAACUGAGACACGGUCCAGACUCCUACGGGAGGCAGCAGUGGGGAAUAUUGGACAAUGGGCGCAAGCGUGAUCCAGCCAUACCGCGUGGGUGAAGAAGGCCUUCGGGUUGUAAAGUCAUUUUGUUGGGAAAGAAAAGCAGCAGGUUAAUACCCCGCUGUUCUGACGGUACCCAAAGAAUAAGCACCGGCUAACUUCGUG
This 492-nucleotide ribosomal RNA is filed under the name uncultured bacterium. RNAcentral's name for it is "partial 16S ribosomal RNA". It matches the Rfam family "Bacterial small subunit ribosomal RNA", at positions 29 to 507 of the family's 1533-position model. The record is from RNAcentral.